AUUGAACGCUGGCGGCAGGCCUAACACAUGCAAGUCGAACGAGUGGCGGACGGGUGAGUAAUGUCUGGGAAACUGCCUGAUGGAGGGGGAUAACUACUGGAAACGGUGGCUAAUACCGCAUACCAUCAGAUGUACCCAUAUGGGAUUAGCUUGUUGGUGGGGUAACGGCUCACCAAGGCGACGAUCCCUAGCUGGUCUGAGAGGAUGACCAGCCACACUGGGACGGAGACACGGUCCAGACUCCUACGGGAGGCAGCAGUGGGGAAUAUUGCACAAUGGGCGCAAGCCUGAUGCAGCCAUGCCGCGUGUAUGAAGAAGGCCUUCGGGUUGUAAAGUACUUUCAGCGGGGAGGCGUUACCCGCAGAAGAAGCACCGGCUAACUCCGUGCCAGCAGCCGCGGUAAUUC
Molecule: ribosomal RNA, 406 nt
Filed under: uncultured bacterium
Lineage: Bacteria
Description: partial 16S ribosomal RNA
Rfam family: Bacterial small subunit ribosomal RNA
Source: RNAcentral